Mus musculus (house mouse) is the source of this 4058-nucleotide long non-coding RNA. RefSeq annotates it as predicted gene, 35229. NCBI's taxonomy places the organism in Eukaryota, Metazoa, Chordata, Mammalia, Rodentia, Muridae. The transcript has 6 exons. The record is from RefSeq and is a predicted model, not a curated record.
UGCUAUGGGAACCGAGUCUUUGGAAGGCCCAGGCCUCUUUUUCCUCCUACCCCCAGCCUCCCUCCAUCUCUAUUCCUUCUUAAUUGGUUUUUAGUUCCCUGGCUUUCAGGCCGUCUGUUUAUUUUGAUUGCAACUCCACAGAACAAAUCUUUAAUGAACCAGCUUGUGGGGAGAGCCAUUAGCAGCCGCCUGCCUCCAGGGAGUGGGGGAGGCGCCUGGCCUGGGUCCCAGCCUGGACUUCUACUCAGCGAGGAAGCGGUGGCCAGCAGGCUCCAAAUAUUUGAAAAACAGACAGACACAUUGUCCUCAUCUCCAGACAGAGGUCACCUUGAAGAAUCUGCAGAGGAGGUCCGUGGGAGCUGGCAGACCUCAGGGGAGAGGAGCGGACUCACCUCUGGAGCUCCCACCAUGGGAAGAAACAAGACCUUGACUUGGACCAGACAGGCACUGAAAUGACAGCCCUGGAGGAACACAUGGCUGCUGUACACAUGGCUGCUCUGUUCGAGUGUGCUGGAGCCAAGGCUGGGCCUGGCCCUCUUCAGAUCUGGGACGACCGUGCCUCCGCACUUAUCAUCUGAUGUUUAAGCAACACCACCACAUGCCUGAGCAAAUGCAGCCCACCUCCCAAGCUUGGUGCAAGAGCUCCCCACCACGGACAGUGGGGGCUAACUGGGGUGUGGGCUAUGUCUCCUCCUUCCCCCAAUCUGCUGCCUCUCCACUCUCAUCCGAUAGCACACGGGCGCCACUUCUUUCUUCCUCUGGCAUCUUUCUCUUCAGAUCUGCAUCUCUAACAUCCAACGGGACGCACAGCCAAAGCUGAGAGGGCUCCUCUUCCCUUGUGUUCUUGUCGGUCAUUUGCUGCUCAGUGGGAAGAUCACAAUUCUAGGAUCUGUCCUUGUCCUUGUCCCCUCAAGUCAAUUCAUCAUAAGCCACCCUACUCUCGAUCACAUCUGUCCCCUCAUCUUUUCAUCCCCUCAUCUUUUUCUCAUAAUCUCUAACCUUACCCAGUCUUCUCCCUUUCUUUUCUUUCUUAUUAAAUUCCAGAAACGGAAUCUAGGACCUCAUGCAUCUUAGGCGACUGUUCUAUUACUGAGCACGUUCCCUAGCUCUCCUCUUACUUUAAAAAUGUUUGUGUGUGUGUGUGUGUGUGUGUGUGUGUGUGUGCAUGUGUUUGUGUGUAUAUGUACGCAUGUGUGUGCAUGUGUAUACAUAUGUGUGUAUGUAUAUGUGUGAUAGUGUGCAUGUGUAGGUAUAUGUAUGUGUCUGUGUGUGUCUAUGUGUAUUGUGUGUGUGUGUCUGUGUAUGGUGGGAUCUCCAGAGGUGAGUGCUAAGUGACAGGGAGAAGCAGCUUGAGGCGAGCACACGUGUGUCUGCCAGAGGUCAGCAGUAGAUAGCUUCCCCAAUCACUCUCUACCUUUUUAAUUCAUCUACUUAUUAUUUUUGAAUUAUAGUCUAUCCCUGAACCUGGAACUUACUCAUUUGGCUUGACUGGCCGGCCAGAAAACCCCAGGGAUGCUUCUGCCUCUGCCUCUGCCUCUGCCUCUGCCUCUGCCUCUGCCUCUGCCUCUGCCUCUGCCUCUGCCUCUGCCUCUGCCUCUGCCUCUGCCUCUGCCUCUGCCUCUGCCUCUGCCUCUGCCUCUGCCUCUGCCUCUGCCUCUGCCUCUGCCUCUGCCUCCCCAGUGAUGGUCUUUAACCAGGGAUGCUGGGAGUUAACUCAUUCAUACAUUCAUUCCUAUGACGUAAGCACUUUACCAGCUGAGCCAUCUCCCUAGCUCUUGCUUUUACUCUUAGAUUCAGAACCUUAACUAAGUUGCUCAGACUCUUCUUCGCUUCACUCUGUAGCUCAAAUAGGAUUUGCACUUGUGACGUUCCUGCCUGAGUCUCCCUCGUAGCUGGAAUUACAGGCCUGGACCACCAUGCCUAGUUAACCUGUCAUGUCUGACUGCCUGCCCGACUUUGCUGCUCUUUCCAAGAAUCAGACUGGCUAAAACAGGCUAGUUCUCAAGGUCCUGGAAGGCUCCCCUCUUUUUACCUCAUGUACCCCUGGCUUCUGAGGCAGAAAUUGGCUUCUUCGAGCUGGCCCCAUGCUUCCUCUAGCCUUCUCUCUGUCCCCUGCCCUGUCCCCCACAUUCUGAUACAAGCCCAGGGAUCUCUGUAAGUUCAGCAAUCUCCAGUCUCGCUCCCCUCUGACCUUUGGUAUUCGGUGCCCUGUGCCUGCAUCCAUCCUGCCCAGCCCCUCUCUAGGUCCAGGCCUCCCUGCCAGCUCCCGAAAGUUCACAAGCAGCCCUGACCAUGCUUCAGCUGCAUAACCUCUUCAAGUCCCUCUUAAAGACUAGCUGUUCUCUGUGAGGGCUCCGUGCUUGGGGAAUGUCCUUCUGACAAAGAAGGCAAUGGAUGAAUCUGAGUGGUUGUCAUCAGCCACGCCUCCGAGACUUCUUUUGAGGUCCCAUUCAGGGAAGUGCUCUGGCUGGCAUGCCUGGCCCUUUGCAGCUCCCAAGCCAGUUGAGAUCUUUGGUUGUUGUUGAUUUCUGUUUGGGGGUGCGCAUGCCAUACCAUGUGUGAGGUGGUCAGAGGACAGCUUCGUGGAGCUGGGUCUUCUUCUCCACCUAUGCAUGGGUUCCAGAGCUUGAUCUACCACAAUCUCAGGGUGCCACUGCCUGCUAAGCCAACUCACUGGCCCUUUAAAAAGAAAAAAAGAAAAAGAAAAAGAGAGAAGUUUAGGUUUGGGUAGUCAGGCUGGUCUGGCGGGCUUGGGGAUUCUACUUAUCCCUGAUGACAACCAAGGGGUAGAACUAAGACCAGGGUUCCCUGACCAUAAGCCCUGCAAGUGUAGCUUUGGGCCUGGCCACAAAGCAGGGGCACCAACCACAUCGCUAUGGAAAGAGAAUGGGGAAGAAAUGUCUCCAGUGCCUCACUGCAGACAGCGCUGCUCAGGGCCCUGGCCACUUCUGCAUUCCGUUUUCAAAGUCCCUUAGCAGCCUGCUCCCACUCUGAUUGCUGGCUUUUGGUGACACUAAUGCCAACACUGUCCCAGUGGAUGUUUGGUGGGACCAGGCGGACCGUGUGUGCGUGUGUGCAGGCACGAGGGGCUCUGAGGCGGUUGGAAACAAAGGCCCGGAGUGAGAUCCAGGGCACAGCUGAACUGCCCUGAACUCUGCUUUUUUUGUGUUCAAGGAAAUGCAUAAUUCAAGAACCACCCACGGCCUGGCGGCCCAGCUAAGCAGGGCUGGAAUGCCUUUCCCGUUAGGAAUUGUUUUUUCUAGUUAGCCUGUAACCCUUCCCCUGCCGCUCCCAGCUCCCCGGCAGCUGGGGCCUGACUCUGCCUCAGCCUUCCUCAGAGAUCCACUGGGAGGGAUGGAUACCAAGGCCGGCGUCCUGAGACAUCUCCAACUCUGUCCUACUUAGGCAGAUUUAGCCAGUGGGCUUGGGGACAAAUUGUGGCCUGCAGUUGCUUCUCCUACUCAGAGAGGCACUAGAGACAGCCCAGGCUGCAAAAGAUGGGGUCCACAUGGAGGGACCCAAGAGAGCCCUGACAGCAGCCCUUGGGGCCUUCACUCCUGGAGGAGGAGGCAGUACCACGACGUGCCCCAUGUUUCUUCCCUCAGCGCCCUCAGCCUCAUAGAUGCCGGGGUAGAGCAGUUCACCUGAGCUACACAUUUUCAACCCCAGAGGGUAAGAGGUCAGGUACUUGAUGCCUUUGCUGUAACAUUGAACAGUCAGUACUGGGCUCUGAAGGCGCCAGAAGCUAGAAAGAGCAGACACCUAGACAAGAGUAACUUUUCGUCUCCUCUCUGUCCUUGUUCUUCAUGUUCCAUACCAGUCCAACCCAGGUAGACACCAGAACCCCUCCUCUUGUCCACCGAUGAGUCCAGGAAUGGUCACACGUAGGGACUCUGAGAGGGAGGGAGGCCAGAGACAACCUUGCCUGCUCUAACAGACAUCGUGCCAAGAGUACUCUGCUGUCAGAACAGGAUUCAGCAAGGAACUUCCCCUGAUUCUUCUUAAUUACCAGCAGUGAAGACAUUCAAGACGCCGGAGAGCAGAGGUCAAACCCCACC